AUGAGACGAGGCAGUAAUCCUCAGUAUUUUCUGCAAGUAGAAAACAGGAGGAGAAAUGUUUUCGUGACCCAGCUGGGACAAGACAGGAAAGAAGAGGGUGAGGAUGUCUCUCCCAUUCCUGUCGUUAAUGAGGUCUCUGUUGGUGAGAUUAUGCAGCAUAACAAAAAGGCGCUGCAUAGAUUCCAGCUUUUGAAGAAAAGAGAGGAAUGUGACCAGAUGACUGUUGAACUGAAUGCAAAGAAGCAAGAGUUUAAAGAGAAGUUGGAACUGCUGACUAAGCGAAGUGGGGAACUCAACCAAAAGGGUCAAAAAUUCAGGGCUCAUGCUCUUGGAUUUGAAUUUUAUCUUCAAGAGUGUGAAAAGAAGAAACAGCGUUAUGUGGAGAAGUUCAAGACGGAACGAAAACUUAACUUGAUAAAGAGGCAUGAGAUCAUCAAACUGAAAGAGGAGAUUAAAAAACUCCAAGCCAGCCUAUCUGGGUUAUCAGGAAGACUCUGUUGUUAG
RNAcentral lists this long non-coding RNA (504 nucleotides) under Anolis carolinensis (green anole). RNAcentral describes it as "lncRNA (ENSACAG00000029051.2)". Lineage: Eukaryota; Metazoa; Chordata; Lepidosauria; Squamata; Anolidae. The record is from RNAcentral.